RNAcentral lists this transfer RNA (74 nucleotides) under Staphylococcus aureus. Its description in RNAcentral is "tRNA-Ala". It matches the Rfam family "tRNA". Rfam says of the family: Transfer RNA (tRNA) molecules are approximately 80 nucleotides in length. Their secondary structure includes four short double-helical elements and three loops (D, anti-codon, and T loops). Lineage: Bacteria; Bacillati; Bacillota; Bacilli; Caryophanales; Staphylococcaceae. The record is from RNAcentral.
GGGCUUAGCUCAGCUGGGAGAGCGCCUGCUUUGCACGCAGGAGGUCGGCGGUUCGAGUCCACUUAGGCCCACCA